Molecule: ribosomal RNA, 251 nt
Filed under: Rhyacophila tristis
Lineage: Eukaryota; Metazoa; Arthropoda; Insecta; Trichoptera; Rhyacophilidae
Description: partial 18S ribosomal RNA
Rfam family: Eukaryotic small subunit ribosomal RNA
Source: RNAcentral
UUUGUUGGCUUUCUGAUACCAGAGGUAAUGAUUAAUAGGGACAACUGGGGGCAUUCGUAUUGCGACGUUAGAGGUGAAAUUCUUGGAUCGUCGCAAGACGGACUAAAGCGAAAGCAUUUGCCAAAGGUGUUUUCAUUAAUCAAGAACGAAAGUUAGAGGUUCGAAGGCGAUUAGAUACCGCUGUAGUUCUAACCAUAAAUGAUGCCAGCCAGCGAUCCGCCGAAGUUUCAUAAUUUUAACCCGGUGGGCAG